RNAcentral lists this ribosomal RNA (2115 nucleotides) under Orbilia ebuli. RNAcentral's name for it is "eukaryotic LSU rRNA". The stretch from base 1 to 532 matches the Rfam family "Eukaryotic small subunit ribosomal RNA", at positions 1263 to 1831 of the family's 1831-position model. Lineage: Eukaryota; Fungi; Ascomycota; Orbiliomycetes; Orbiliales; Orbiliaceae. The record is from RNAcentral.
UGAUUAUGUGGGUGGUGGUGCAUGGCCGUUCUUAGUUGGUGGAGUGAUUUGUCUGCUUAAUUGCGAUAACGAACGAGACCUUAACCUGCUAAAUAGCCAGGCGAGCUUUUGCUCGUCGCCGGCUUCUUAGAGGGACUAUCGGCUCAAGCCGAUGGAAGUUUGAGGCAAUAACAGGUCUGUGAUGCCCUUAGAUGUUCUGGGCCGCACGCGCGCUACACUGACAGAGCCAACGAGUUUAAACCUUGACCGAGAGGUCUGGGUAAUCUUGUUAAACUCUGUCGUGCUGGGGAUAGAGCAUUGCAAUUAUUGCUCUUCAACGAGGAAUAUCUAGUAAGCGCAAGUCAUCAGCUUGCGUUGAUUACGUCCCUGCCCUUUGUACACACCGCCCGUCGCUACUACCGAUUGAAUGGCUCAGUGAGGCCUUCGGACUGACUCAGGGAGGUCGGCAACGACCACCCAGAGCCGGAAAGUUGGUCAAACUUGGUCAUUUAGAGGAAGUAAAAGUCGUAACAAGGUUUGAAAUGAGUCCCUUCCACAGGUGACGCUCACGAGAAGCCUUUGUGGCCCCGCAAGGGGUAUCUGCCGCGACAGUAAAUAAAGAAUGCGGGUAUUAAAUCGCAAGUCGGUUUUCGAACCGGCCACACUUUCGAAUUGCGGGAAAUCCCUAAAGCCCUUCUCUACCAACCCACCGAGGAAACUCGGGUUUUUUUGGGGGCCCGUGUUAACAGCACGGGGCGCAGGUAACAACGAGAUUGGGAUAAAGUGCAACACACGGCACGCCAUGGGAGAUCCGCAGCCAAGUCCCUAAGGCUCGGAGCAAUCCGGGCUAUGGGAAAGGUUCACAGACUAAGUGGAAGUGGGCUGUAAAAUCAGCUUAAGAUAUAGUCGGGCCUGACGGGAGACCGCUGGGGAGUCAUCAGACCGCUUAACCGUUCCGUAGGUGAACCUGCGGAAGGAUCAUUACAAAUUGAAUGACGUUGGGGUUUCGGCCUCACACGUUUCUCAAACUCCUUGCUCAAACACAAAACCAUUUGCUUCGGCAGCGGGCCUCAGGUCUCUCCACUUCGUUGUGGAGUUUUCUCAGGCCGUCAGCCUGCCGGCAGCACCCAAAACCAAACUCGUUUUAAAACAACCUGUCUGAACACAAUCAUUAAUUGAAUGAUAAUUAAAACUUUCAACAACGGAUCUCUUGGUUCCCGCAUCGAUGAAGAACGCAGCGAAACGCGAUAGUUAAUGUGAAUUGCAGAAUUCAGUGAAUCAUCGAGUCUUUGAACGCACAUUGCGCCCUUUGGUAUUCCGAAGGGCACGUCCGUUUGAGCGUCAUUUCUACCCCUUCGCGGUCCGGUUGCUUUCGGGCGACCGUUCCUGCGGUAUUGAGUUCCGCUGACCUCUCCUUUUUGGGGAGGCGCUGGCUUUAAAGUAGAACGCUCUGCGGGCCGCUUCGGCUCCCCUUGACAUAGUAAAAUCUUUUAUUCUUGUUUAGAGGACCGUCGUGGCUUCCGCCUGAACAACAAACCAAAACACAAUCAGGUUUGACCUCAAAUCGGACGAGGAUACCCGCUGAACUUAAGCAUAUCAAUAAGCGGAGGAAAAGAAACCAACAGGGAUUGCCUCAGUAACGGCGAGUGAAGCGGCAACAGCUCAAAUUUGAAAUCUGAAGCCUUCGGCCUCCGAGUUGUAAUUUGAAGAAGAUGCUUCGGUUGUGGCCCCGGCCUAAGUUCCUUGGAACAGGACGUCGCAGAGGGUGAGAAUCCCGUACGCGGCUGGCGGCUUACUUCCAUGUGUAGCACUUUCGAAGAGUCGAGUUGUUUGGGAAUGCAGCUCAAAAUGGGUGGUAAAUUUCAUCUAAAGCUAAAUAUUGGCGGGAGACCGAUAGCGCACAAGUAGAGUGAUCGAAAGAUGAAAAGCACUUUGAAAAGAGAGUUAAAUAGUACGUGAAAUUGUUGAAAGGGAAGCGCUUGCAGCCAGACUCCCUCGCGGUUGAUCAUCGUUCCUUCUGGUUCGUGCACUCUGCCGUUUGGGGGCCAGCAUCGGUUUGUGCGGCGGGACAAAGGUUUCGGGAAUGUGGCUCCUCUCGGGGAGUGUUAUAGCCCGUUGCGUAAUGCCGCCUGUGCA